GCAGAUUGGAACGAUUAAUAAGUAUGUACGAUCAAAGGAUUCGCUGCAGCAUUUCUAAUCCGCUGCAAGUUUUGUGUGCAAAAAAUUGUCCUAAUAUAUGAAUUACAUAUUAAAAUGGUGGAAAAUAAUUAUAAGAGAAAUUAUUGCAUUUCACAGCAAAAGGAGAGGAGAGAAAAUUUAUCGUAAAUCCAAUAAUAUUUCAAAAUAUUUCUUUAAAUUUUAAUUUCAAAACUCUGCUGGAUCCUGCAAUCUAUUCCGGAUUAACGGAACAUUCGGCAAAAAAGUACUAAAGCGUCAAAGGAGAAUAUAAUUCUGGAAGAUUAUUUCGCGAGACGAUGAGAUUUUUCGGUACAAUAAUCUCCCGCACACCCACGGAGCUGGGGCAAUGGGGCCUAUAUAACAUAAUUACAAUGUACCGUAAGCCAGACGACCAAAGCCUUCACGCAUGGUAGACCGAAGCGCAUACAGGACGUGGAGAACGGGUCUCGCGUAUGUAUCGAUUUGUGGUUCUCUACGAAGCGUCAAUAUUUCUCCCAUCGAGCAUCCCACGAGUCGUUCUUUGAAAUCAGA
Molecule: long non-coding RNA, 570 nt
Organism: Cataglyphis hispanica
Lineage: Eukaryota; Metazoa; Arthropoda; Insecta; Hymenoptera; Formicidae
Exons: 3
Source: RefSeq, a predicted model, not a curated record